UGCACCGCCCCGCCACACCACACACAUGAUGCUCAAACUCCAUCAGAUAUUUCUUUCCUACGCGUACUCAUCUACAAACUCUCUCUCGUCUAGUCGUAAUGUCGUCGUCUUGUGCUGCUGUGGUAGUCUGUCCUUUGUCCUUUGUGGAGAGCAUCUUAAUUAAUAUAUAUAUGUAUAUAUACACAUAAAUAUUAGCAUUCACAUGUAUCCACUUUUACCAGAUUUAGCAAAGAUUUCGUUUAGUCACUAAGCAAUAUAUAUCAUAUAUAGCUGUGGAGAUAAAUAGAUGUAGCAAGCGUCCAUUGUUGUUGGAGCUAGCUAGGUUUGUUGGAGACUUUUGGAGCAGCUAACUGCUAGCAGCAUGCAUGCAUGGCGCCCAUCCAUCGUGGAAGAGGAGGGGGGACGGACAUAUAGAUGAUGCGUGUGUGGCGUGGCGCCCGUGCUGUGUCGAGCCAACGACGAGAGCUAGAUGAGGUACAUACACGCGGACGGUAUCGCUACUAUAGCUCGUACUCACUUGCGUCGAGCUCGGAGCUGACGAGCUCCAAGAGCAGCGUCUUGCCGAGGAGGUCGCCGACGUCGUCGAGGGCGCGCUCGAAGUACAUCUGCCCGAUGGCCGGCGACGCUUCCACCGUGGCCGUCACCGUCAGCAUCUGCGGCGGCUCCACGGUGACGGCCGCCACGGCGCCGCUGACCUCCUCGGUGGCGCUGCAGCUGAUCCUCGGCAGCCGCGUGUGCCGCCGGGACGAGGACCGGGAGCGGGAGGAGGAGGAGGACACGCCAGCACCGCCCCUCCGAGGCCUGCUGACGGCCGCCGCUGAGGGCGACGACGCCAGGCGCGAGCCGACGACGACAUUGCUCUGGUGCGCGGGCAGCAUGAGAGGCUGCUUCAGGUUCAG
This 899-nucleotide long non-coding RNA is filed under the name Sorghum bicolor (sorghum). RNAcentral describes it as "long non-coding RNA (SBIC_LNC006000)". The record is from RNAcentral. Lineage: Eukaryota; Viridiplantae; Streptophyta; Magnoliopsida; Poales; Poaceae.